Molecule: ribosomal RNA, 253 nt
Filed under: uncultured bacterium
Lineage: Bacteria
Description: partial 16S ribosomal RNA
Rfam family: Bacterial small subunit ribosomal RNA
Source: RNAcentral
UACGAGGGGGGCAAGCGUUGUUCGGAAUUAUUGGGCGUAAAGGGCGCGUAGGCGGUGCGGUAAGUCACCUGUGAAACCUCUAGGCUUAACCUAGAGCCUGCAGGCGAAACUGCCGUGCUUGAGGGUGGGAGAGGUGCGUGGAAUUCACGGUGUAGCAGUGAAAUUCGUAGAUAUUCGCAAGAACACCAGUGGCGAAGGCGGCUCACUGGCCCGGUACUGACGCUGAGGUGCGAAAGCGUGGGGAGCAAACAGG